Molecule: transfer RNA, 83 nt
Organism: Acanthamoeba castellanii str. Neff
Lineage: Eukaryota; Discosea; Longamoebia; Acanthamoebidae
Rfam family: tRNA
About the family: Transfer RNA (tRNA) molecules are approximately 80 nucleotides in length. Their secondary structure includes four short double-helical elements and three loops (D, anti-codon, and T loops). Further hydrogen bonds mediate the characteristic L-shaped molecular structure. tRNAs have two regions of fundamental functional importance: the anti-codon, which is responsible for specific mRNA codon recognition, and the 3' end, to which the tRNAs corresponding amino acid is attached (by aminoacyl-tRNA synthetases). tRNAs cope with the degeneracy of the genetic code in two manners: having more than one tRNA (with a specific anti-codon) for a particular amino acid; and 'wobble' base-pairing, i.e. permitting non-standard base-pairing at the 3rd anti-codon position.
Source: Rfam
GGCCAGAUGCCCGAGUUGGUCCAAGGGGCCAGACUCAAGUUCUGGUGUGGAAACACGCGUGGGUUCGAACCCCACUCUGGCCA